CCUUCUUUCCCUCUCCCUGAGCUAGACCCCGAGCAACUGCAGCUCCCCAUUUUGGUUCUUCUCCCCCGAUCAGAGACAUUCUUUCCCUUUCUCAAUUAUGGUUAUUCUCUCCCUGAUCUAGGUUUUCUACACAGAAGAGUCUCAUCAACCUCUCCCCGAUCUAGGUCAAGAAGAAAUUGUUGGUGGAUUUCUUCGAUUUCACAAACGAUUUCACGAUGGGUAAGAGAUGAUCAGUCUUUAGUAAUAGUCAAAUUGUAUAACCUGCAAUUCGGAAGUGCAAGACUUGGUGUUUGGACAUAGGGGAAGGAGUUCUUGUUCUUGCUUCAUGUGGGUCUUAUUUUAAGUUGGCUCUCCCUUUCAUACGGAUAUCCAAAAGGGUAGGAAAGGAAGGAAAAUUAUCCAAUGAAAGAAUCUUGCUGGUAUUCCGGAGCAAACUGAUUCUAAGACUUGUGGUUAUAUCGUCAUGCAUUAUAUGAAAGAAAUUGUGGAUGACAAGAACUUGGAGUUUGCUACCAAGUGGGAAAGGAAAUCAAAUCUUGCUUACGCACAGAAGGAUAUUGAUGUGGCUCGAGCUGAAUGGGCAAAUCAUGUUAUGCAGUUCUAACUUUGAUUCUGUUUAAGGUAGAUGGGUAGCACUUGGAACUGCUUUUGUGCAUUUCUAUAUAACUGAUGGAAAGUGUUGAUGAACCUAAAUUAUGCAUGCAGUUGCUCUGCCUAGCUACUCUUUCUUUACCUUAUAGGUUUUUGACUUGGUGCAUUAGGUAAAUGAUCGAGAUAAAAUGGUUUUUUGGUUCUCUUGUGUUGGCUAGAUUUAG
This is a long non-coding RNA of Rosa chinensis, 815 nucleotides long. RefSeq lists it as uncharacterized. The transcript has 6 exons. The record is from RefSeq and is a predicted model, not a curated record. NCBI's taxonomy places the organism in Eukaryota, Viridiplantae, Streptophyta, Magnoliopsida, Rosales, Rosaceae.